CACUGGCUGCCACCUCCUGCCUGCUCCAGCUUGUCACUGUCCUUCCCUAGACCGUCCCUGCAGCUCUACCUGGAAGCCCUCUUCUUCCUCUUUCUCCACCCUGGAGGCCCUGACACACCCUGAGAGGCCUCAGCAGAUGCCACUUAUUGCCCGGGAAGCUGCCAUCCUUCCCUCCAGCAGAGAUGAGCCAGCACUUCCUUCCAGAGACUACACAGUGUUCCAGAGAGCUGAGCACAGGAGCCUGGCUUUGUACACAGAAAAUGACUGAAGAAAGCAAAAUCGAAAAGUAGAUUGGUCACUUCCAUUUCUUUCCUUGUGGGGUCGGGACAGAAUAAUAGAAAAAUAACUGAUUGGUUAACAUCAAGUUACUUCAGGUAAUUUUUCCGGGUAAAUUUAAGAUUAGAGGAAACAUCAGUAUCAUGACAAUUAAAACUGAUCUGUCUGGGAAAUUCAGUUGUUCUCCAUAUAAUCCUGAUUUCUAUGACAGCCACACACACAGUUUUUAGAUUCCGCUUGGUGAAACAGCUUAGUUUAGCAUGAAUGAUUCCAUUUUGAUUUUUAGUGUGGUAUCUUGGGGCCCAGUCUAAAGUAAUGAUCUCCUGUAAUUUUUAUUUAGCAACAUCCAGACAUGGAGUUUUUGGAUCAUAGAGUGUACAUAAAGUGCACACACCUGUAAUCCCAGCAUUCAGGAGGCAGAGGCAGGAGGAUCACUGUGAGUUCGAGGCCAGCCUGGGCUACAUAGUGAGAUCUUGUCUCAAAAUACCAAAAUAAAAAGUUUUAGUUAGGUAUUUUCCCACCAGCUGUGAGAGCUGCCCUUACUCCAUAUCCUUCCAAAAAUUUGGGUUAGAUUUUUAAAAUUUUGUCAGUUGAAUGAGUGGAAGUGGUAUAAAUAUAUUUUAACUCUUCAUAAUGAAAAAUUCCAAGUAUUUAUACAGUAGUGAGACUAAUAUAAUGAAUUUCUAUGUCUCUGUCAUCUAAUUCAAUAAUUAUCAAUGCUUAUUGAUUUUGUUCCUCUAUAAUCUUACCAUUAUUUUGAACCAAAUCCCAGACAUCAUACUGUUUCCAUCUGUAAACAUUUCAGUAUAUUUGAUCCCUGGUACCAAAAAAAACAAACAAACAAUAAAACAUUUCAG
Long non-coding RNA from Heterocephalus glaber (naked mole-rat), 1133 nucleotides. Lineage: Eukaryota; Metazoa; Chordata; Mammalia; Rodentia; Bathyergidae. The record is from Ensembl.